This 250-nucleotide ribosomal RNA is filed under the name uncultured bacterium. RNAcentral's name for it is "partial 16S ribosomal RNA". It matches the Rfam family "Bacterial small subunit ribosomal RNA", at positions 524 to 773 of the family's 1533-position model. The record is from RNAcentral.
UACGGAGGGUGCGAGCGUUAAUCGGAAUUACUGGGCGUAAAGGGUGCGUAGGUGGUAAUUUAAGUUAUCUGUGAAAUUCCCGGGCUUAACCUGGGAAGGCCAGAUAAUACUGGAUUACUUGAGUAUAGGAGAGGGCAGUGGAAUUUCCAGUGUAGCGGUGAAAUGCGUAGAGAUUGGAAGGAACACCAGUGGCGAAGGCGACUGCCUGGCCUGAUACUGACACUGAGGCACGAAAGCGUGGGUAGCAAAC